GACGUAGGGGGCGAGCGUUGUCCGGAUUUACUGGGCGUAAAGGGCGCGCAGGCGGCCCUUUUUGUCAGGCGUGAAAGCCCCGGGCUCAACCUGGGAGGUGCGCUUGGGACGGGAUGGCUAGAGAUCGGGAGAGGAGAGUGGAAUUCCCAGUGUAGAGGUGAAAUUCGUAGAUAUUGGGAAGAACAUCAAUGGCGAAGGCAGCUUGCUGGGCUACUCCUGACACUGAGGUACGAAAGCGUGGGGAGCGAACAGG
This 253-nucleotide ribosomal RNA is filed under the name uncultured bacterium. RNAcentral's name for it is "partial 16S ribosomal RNA". It matches the Rfam family "Bacterial small subunit ribosomal RNA", at positions 524 to 776 of the family's 1533-position model. The record is from RNAcentral.